RNAcentral lists this transfer RNA (62 nucleotides) under Cricetulus griseus (Chinese hamster). It matches the Rfam family "tRNA". From Rfam's summary of the family: Transfer RNA (tRNA) molecules are approximately 80 nucleotides in length. Their secondary structure includes four short double-helical elements and three loops (D, anti-codon, and T loops). Lineage: Eukaryota; Metazoa; Chordata; Mammalia; Rodentia; Cricetidae. The record is from Rfam by way of RNAcentral.
GAAGAUAUAGCUCAGUUGUUAAGAGCACUGAGAGGACCUGGGUUCAAGUCCCAGCAUCCACA